This 153-nucleotide unclassified non-coding RNA is filed under the name uncultured fungus. Its description in RNAcentral is "sequence contains ITS1, 5.8S rRNA gene". Lineage: Eukaryota; Fungi. The record is from RNAcentral.
AAGAAUUGGCUUCGGCCGUCUUAUCAUCAACCAUGUGAACUUGUUUUUGAUUUUGGCGGGACGCAGCAUUACGCUGCCUCGGCUCACGAGCGCGCCCGCCAAAGGUUUAUUUAAACAUUGAUGUCUUGAAUGUCUUUUUCUAAACCAAAAAGA